This 433-nucleotide ribosomal RNA is filed under the name uncultured bacterium. RNAcentral describes it as "partial 16S ribosomal RNA". It matches the Rfam family "Bacterial small subunit ribosomal RNA", at positions 29 to 507 of the family's 1533-position model. The record is from RNAcentral.
AACGAACGCUGGCGGCAUGCCUAACACAUGCAAGUCGAACGAGACCUUCGGGUCUAGUGGCGCACGGGUGCGUAACGCGGGGGAACCUGCCCUUAGGUUCGGAAUAACUCCCCGAAAGGGGUGCUAAUACCGGAUAAUGUCUUCGGACCAAAGAUUUAUCGCCUUUGGAUGGGCCCGCGUUGGAUUAGCUCGUUGGUCGGGUAAAAGCCUACCAAGGCGACGAUCCAUAGCUGGUCUGAGAGGAUGAUAAGCCACACUGGGACUGAGACACGGCCCAGACUCCUACGGCAGGCAGCAGUGGGGAAUAUUGGACAAUGGGCGAAAGACUGAUCCAGCAAUGCCGCGUGAGUGAUGAAGGCCUUAGGGUUGUAAAGCUCUUUUACCCGGGAUGAUAAUGACAGUACCGGCAGAAUAAGCUCCGGCUAACUCCGUG